RNAcentral lists this ribosomal RNA (301 nucleotides) under uncultured bacterium. RNAcentral describes it as "partial 16S ribosomal RNA". It matches the Rfam family "Bacterial small subunit ribosomal RNA", at positions 512 to 810 of the family's 1533-position model. The record is from RNAcentral.
CAGCCGCGGUAAUACAGAGGGUGCGAGCGUUAAUCGGAUUUACUGGGCGUAAAGCGUGCGUAGGCGGCUAAUUGAGUCGGAUGUGAAAUCCCCGAGCUUAACUUGGGAAUUGCAUUCGAUACUGGUUAGCUAGAGUGUGGGAGAGGAUGGUAGAAUUCCAGGUGUAGCGGUGAAAUGCGUAGAGAUCUGGAGGAAUACCGAUGGCGAAGGCAGCCAUCUGGCCUAACACUGACGCUGAGGUACGAAAGCAUGGGGAGCAAACAGGAUUAGAUACCCCAGUAGUCCCUGUCUCUUAUACACU